GUGAACGCUGGCGGUAGGCCUAACACAUGCAAGUCGCACGGCAGCACAGUAAGAGCUUGCUCUUACGGGUGGCGAGUGGCGGACGGGUGAGGAAUACAUCGGAAUCUACUUUUUCGUGGGGGAUAACGUAGGGAAACUUACGCUAAUACCCCAUACGACCUACGGGUGAAAGCCGGGGAUCUUCGGACCUUGCGCGAUUGAAUGAGCCGAUGUCGGAUUAGCUAGUUGGCGGGGUAAAGGCCCACCAAGGCGACGAUCCGUAGCUGGUCUGAGAGGAUGAUCAGCCACACUGGAACUGAGACACGGUCCAGACUCCUACGGGAGGCAGCAGUGGGGAAUAUUGGACAAAGGGCGCAAGCCUGAUCCAGCCAUACCGCGUGGGUGAAGAAGGCCUUCGGGUUGUAAAGCCCUUUUGUUGGGAAAGAAAAGCAGCAGGUUAAUACCCCGCUGUUCUGACGGUACCCAAAGAAUAAGCACCGGCUAACUUCGUG
RNAcentral lists this ribosomal RNA (491 nucleotides) under uncultured bacterium. Its description in RNAcentral is "partial 16S ribosomal RNA". It matches the Rfam family "Bacterial small subunit ribosomal RNA", at positions 29 to 507 of the family's 1533-position model. The record is from RNAcentral.